AAAAUAACCAUGAUCCCCUCAGUAACGGCGAGUGAAGCGGGAAAAGCUCAAAUUUGAAAUCUGUCAACAUUUCUUUUGUUGUCCGAGUUGUAAUUUCAAGAAGCUGCUUUGAGUGUAGACGAUCGGUCUAAGUUCCUUGGAACAGGACGUCAGAGAGGGUGAGAACCCCGUCUUUGGUCGAUUGGAUAUGCCAUAUAAAGCGCUUUCGAAGAGUCGAGUUGUUUGGGAAUGCAGCUCUAAAUGGGUGGUAAAUUUCAUCUAAAGCUAAAUAUUGGCGAGAGACCGAUAGCGAACAAGUAGAGUGAUCGAAAGAUGAAAAGAACUUUGAAAAGAGAGUUAAAUAGUACGUGAAAUUGCUGAAAGGGAAGCAUUGGAAAUCAGUCUUACCUGGGUGAGAUCAGUAGUCUCUUCGCGAGACUAUGCACUCUGAACCUGUGGUAGGUCAGCAUCAGUUUUCGGGGGCGGAAAAAGAAUAAGGGAAGGUGGCUUUCCGGGUUCUGCCUGGGGAGUGUUUAUAGCCCUUGUUGUAAUACGUCCACUGGGGACUGAGGACUGCGGCUUCGUGCCAAGGAUGCUGGCAUAAUGGUUUUCAAUGGC
This 597-nucleotide ribosomal RNA is filed under the name Schizosaccharomyces pombe (fission yeast). RNAcentral describes it as "partial large subunit ribosomal RNA". It matches the Rfam family "Eukaryotic large subunit ribosomal RNA", at positions 62 to 648 of the family's 3401-position model. The record is from RNAcentral. Lineage: Eukaryota; Fungi; Ascomycota; Schizosaccharomycetes; Schizosaccharomycetales; Schizosaccharomycetaceae.